Piliocolobus tephrosceles (Ugandan red Colobus) is the source of this 1900-nucleotide long non-coding RNA. NCBI's taxonomy places the organism in Eukaryota, Metazoa, Chordata, Mammalia, Primates, Cercopithecidae. The record is from Ensembl.
UUUUAUUUUACCAUUUGCGUUUUUAUAUAUACACUAAAGUAAAUUUUUUUUUUUAAAAAAAUUAAAACGCAGAAAAUCAUUAAAUUCUGCUACAUAUGUAUUUAAAAUAUACAUAUACAAACGCUAUGAGAAACUAAAAAAAAAAAAAAAAAAAAAAAAAAAAAUAGUUCUUUUUUUUUUUUUUUACUAUUUUAUUUUAUUUUUUUUAAUAUUGCAUUUUUCCAGAUAUAUAAAAAAAUAAUUUACAGAACAAUAGUUAAACAAACAUAUAUAUAUAUAUAUAUAUAUAUAUUAAAAAACUAAUUAACAAAUAAUAUUCAGUAGUGUCUGACCAAGUAAAAAAUAUUAUUAAGCAAUAUUCGGCUAAUUAAAAAAAUAUUAUUAAGUGAUAUUAGACUAAUUAAAAAAUAUUAUCAAGCGCUAUAAAUAUAUUGUUUUGAUUUCAUUUUAGUAUAUUGCCUACAUAUGUACAUAUACAUAUAUACAUACCUUUUUUUUUAAACACACAUAUAUUCCCAUGUUGAUCCCUGAAAAUUAUAUUUUUUUAAUGACAAUACUGAUAAAAAUAACAUAUUUAAUAAAAACAACACAAUGAAUAACAAUAAUACGAAUAACUCAAAUAUGUGGAAUAUCCCCAACAAUAAUUUAAAUAAUAACAAUUUUUUUAGUAAUACUUUACCAAACCAAAAUGACCUGAACAAAAAUAAUUGUAACAUUUUUAAUAAUUCCUUAACUAAUGACAAUAACUUAAACAAAACUGGCAAUAAUAUUUUUUCUAACACGUUACCCAACCAAAAUGAUUUCAACAAAAAUAGUGGUAGCCUUUUCGGUGGUGCUUUAUCUGGACAAUCCAACUUAAACAAAAAUGGUACGAACAAUUUUUUCAAUAGUACUUUACCCAGUCAAAGUGACAUGAACAAAAACAAUUGCAACCUUUUUAGUAAUUCAUUAACUAACCAAAACAAUUUAAACAAAACAGGUGGUAGUCUUUUUGCAAACAAUAUAACUAAUCAAAACAACCUGAAUAAAGAUAGUGGUAGCCUUUUUAAUAAUAGUAUUACAUAUCAAACAAAUAUGAUGAAACCUAACAAUUUUUUUGGAAACAAUAUAAACAAUACUCAAAAUGAUAUGAACAAAAAUAAUACCUCUCUUUUUUCCAAUACUAUGAACACACAAAAUAAUUUAAAUAAAAAUAAUUCUUUUUUUUUUAAUAAUCCAAAUGAUGCUAACAAAAGUGGAAAUAGUCUUUUUGGUAAUAUAGCUUCGAAUACUUCAACACAGUCUACAACACCUAAUGCUUUCAACCCGAAUUUAUUCAGUGCAGCCAAAAAGGAUAUUUAUCCAGGAUUCACACGGACAUUAGGUAGUAAUAAUUCGACAAACACUGGUACUAAUAUGUUCAAACAAAGUACAUUAGGAAGUUCCAUAGCGUUAGGAAGUCAACUAAAUGAAGAUAGAAGUGCAGAUGGUGGUGGUUUAUUUUCAAAAGAACAAUUGGAGGCAGCCAAACAAAUUUUUGCUAAUUCAUCAGCUACAUCUACAUCACUAUCAGGUUUUGGAAAUAACACAAGUACAAUGAAUAAUAAUAACAGUACUUUAAAUAACAACAAUAACAAUAAUAAUAAUAUAAACAAAUUAACAUCGUUUAGUGGUGGUUUUUCAAAUGCAAGUGCUUUUGCAAAAAAUAAUAUAAACCCAUUUCAAAGUAUGGCAUUAAAAACAAAUACACAAGAUAAACUACCAACAUCAAAAGUACCAUCAUCAUCUUCAUCUCUUUUAAAUAGUUCAAUGUCGAAAUCUUUUCUUACAAGUGGUAAUAAUGAAAAUAAAUUGAAUCCUUUUGGUAUGCCUAGUAUGAACACUUUGGGUUCUUCUUCAGGUAAUAAAUUUGGAACUACAU